This 72-nucleotide transfer RNA is filed under the name Ornithorhynchus anatinus (platypus). It matches the Rfam family "tRNA". Rfam says of the family: Transfer RNA (tRNA) molecules are approximately 80 nucleotides in length. Their secondary structure includes four short double-helical elements and three loops (D, anti-codon, and T loops). The record is from Rfam by way of RNAcentral. Lineage: Eukaryota; Metazoa; Chordata; Mammalia; Monotremata; Ornithorhynchidae.
AGCAGCGUGGCUCAGUGGAAAGAGUCCAGUCUUGGGAGUCAGAGGUCAUGGGUUCGAAUCCCAUCUCUGCCA